Molecule: non-coding RNA, 76 nt
Organism: Pocillopora verrucosa
Lineage: Eukaryota; Metazoa; Cnidaria; Anthozoa; Scleractinia; Pocilloporidae
Source: the annotation of a RefSeq genome assembly
GGCCUGUUGGCUCAGUUGUUGGUAGAGCGCUGCGCCGGCAUCGCAGAGGUCAUGGGUUCAAAUCCCGCACGGGCCU